UUGAAGUUGUGCACUAUUAGUGGCAUGGUUGUCAUUUGUAUUUUUGUGAAAUCCAGAACAAACUUUUAAAAUAUAAUAUACAUAAAUAAUGUUCACAAAUUAUUACUAACAUUUUAAUUGUACAUGUAACUUAUUUGUAGAUGAGGGAAUACAAAAAGCAAGGACUUAAUUGAAAUUUCAUCAAAUAAUUUGAAUGAAAAUCCCAGAAAAAUUAUUCACUUCAACAUGUCUGCCGAAAUACAAAGCAACACUAUUUCCAAGGUGCGCAUGAUGCAACUUCCUGAAUGGUGUGUAUAGGCUGUUUGUCAACAUCUGAAACCCACGUGUAUUUCAGGGAGCAGUCUCUCCUUUUAAAGAUCCAAAAUGGCAGUUUUACAGUGCAGCAUACAGUCUGGUCAUCAACAGAGAGUUUUGACACUGAUAAUACCCAUAUGCCUGUAACCUUUGUAGAGUUCAUC
This is a long non-coding RNA of Saccostrea cuccullata (small rock oyster), 458 nucleotides long. RefSeq lists it as uncharacterized. NCBI's taxonomy places the organism in Eukaryota, Metazoa, Mollusca, Bivalvia, Ostreida, Ostreidae. The record is from RefSeq and is a predicted model, not a curated record. The transcript has 3 exons.